GAGCUACUCCCUCCAUUUCAAAUUACUCGUCGCUGAAAUGGAUGUAUCUAGAACUAAAAUACAUCUAGAUACAUCCAUAUCGUGCGACAAGUAAUUCGGAACGGAGGGAGUCAAAU
Molecule: non-coding RNA, 116 nt
Organism: Triticum aestivum (bread wheat)
Lineage: Eukaryota; Viridiplantae; Streptophyta; Magnoliopsida; Poales; Poaceae
Source: Rfam